Molecule: ribosomal RNA, 776 nt
Filed under: uncultured marine microorganism
Description: bacterial SSU rRNA
Rfam family: Bacterial small subunit ribosomal RNA
Source: RNAcentral
AGAGUUUGAUCAUGGCUCAGGAUGAACGCUGGCGGCGUGCUUAACACAUGCAAGUCGAACGAACCUUCGGGUUAGUGGCGGACGGGUGAGUAACGCGUGAGAAUCUGCCCUCAGGAGGGGGAUAACGGUUGGAAACGACCGCUAAUACCCCAUAUGCCUAUUGGUGAAAUGAAUUUCGCCUGAGGAUGAGCUCGCGUCUGAUUAGCUAGUUGGUGAGGUAAUGGCUCACCAAGGCUUCGAUCAGUAGCUGGUCUGAGAGGAUGAUCAGCCACACUGGGACUGAGACACGGCCCAGACUCCUACGGGAGGCAGCAGUGGGGAAUUUUCCGCAAUGGGCGAAAGCCUGACGGAGCAACGCCGCGUGAGGGACGAAGGCCUCUGGGCUGUAAACCUCUUUUCUCAAGGAAGAAGAUAUGACGGUACUUGAGGAAUAAGCCACGGCUAAUUCCGUGCCAGCAGCCGCGGUAAUACGGGAGUGGCAAGCGUUAUCCGGAAUUAUUGGGCGUAAAGCGUCCGCAGGCGGCUUUUCAAGUCUGCUGUUAAAGCGUGGAGCUUAACUCCAUCAUGGCAGUGGAAACUGAAAGGCUUGAGUAUGGUAGGGGCAGAGGGAAUUCCCGGUGUAGCGGUGAAAUGCGUAGAUAUCGGGAAGAACACCAGUGGCGAAGGCGCUCUGCUGGGCCAUUACUGACGCUCAUGGACGAAAGCCAGGGGAGCGAAAGGGAUUAGAUACCCCUGUAGUCCUGGCCGUAAACGAUGAACACUAGGUGUCGGGGGAA